UACGAAGGGUGCAAGCGUUGUCCGGAUUUAUUGGGUUUAAAGGGUGCUUAGGUGGCUGAUUAAGUCAUGGGUGAAAGCCCGCAGCUCAACUGUGGAAUUGCCUGUGAUACUGAUUAGCUUGAGUGCGGUUGAGGCAGCUGGAAUUGGAGGUGUAGCGGUGAAAUGCAUAGAUACCACCAGGAACACCGAUUGCGAAGGCAGGUUGCUAAGCCGUAACUGACACUGAGGCACGAAAGCGUGGGGAGCAAACAGG
This 253-nucleotide ribosomal RNA is filed under the name uncultured bacterium. RNAcentral describes it as "partial 16S ribosomal RNA". It matches the Rfam family "Bacterial small subunit ribosomal RNA", at positions 524 to 776 of the family's 1533-position model. The record is from RNAcentral.